CACGUGGGUGGCGAGCGUUAUUCGGAUUUACUGGGCGUAAAGGGUCCGCAGGGGGCCUGCCACGCCCGCCGUGAAAUUUCAGGGCUCAACCCUGAACCUGCGGCGGGCACGGGCGGGCUGGAGUGCAGGAUGGGCAGACGGAAUUCCAGGUGUAGCGGUGGAAUGCGUAGAUAUCUGGAGGAACACCGAUGGCGAAGGCGGUCUGCUGGCCUGCAACUGACCCUCAUGGACGAGAGCGUGGGUAGCAAACAGGAUUAGAUACC
RNAcentral lists this ribosomal RNA (263 nucleotides) under uncultured bacterium. Its description in RNAcentral is "partial 16S ribosomal RNA". It matches the Rfam family "Bacterial small subunit ribosomal RNA", at positions 524 to 786 of the family's 1533-position model. The record is from RNAcentral.